RNAcentral lists this ribosomal RNA (884 nucleotides) under uncultured bacterium. RNAcentral describes it as "bacterial SSU rRNA". It matches the Rfam family "Bacterial small subunit ribosomal RNA", at positions 21 to 882 of the family's 1533-position model. The record is from RNAcentral.
GGCUCAGAACGAACGCUGGCGGCGUGCCUAACACAUGCAAGUCGAACGUGAUUACGGAGCUUGCUCUCUAUGAAAGUGGCGCACGGGUGAGUAACGCGUAGAUAAUCUACCUGAUGAUCUGGGAUAACACUUCGAAAGGGGUGCUAAUACCGGAUAAGCCCACGGAGUCCUUGGACACUGCGGGAAAAGGGGGGGAUCGCAAGACCUUCCGUCAUCAGAUGAGUCUGCGUACCAUUAGCUAGUUGGUAGGGUAAAGGCCUACCAAGGCGACGAUGGUUAGCUGGUCUGAGAGGAUGAUCAGCCACACUGGAACUGAGACACGGUCCAGACUCCUACGGGAGGCAGCAGUGGGGAAUUUUGCGCAAUGGGGGAAACCCUGACGCAGCAACGCCGCGUGAGUGAUGAAGGCCCUUGGGUCGUAAAGCUCUGACAGAGGGAAAGAAAUGUGGGUGGCUAAUAUCCAUUCCACUUGACGGUACCCUCAAAGGAAGCACCGGCUAACUCCGUGCCAGCAGCCGCGGUAAUACGGGGGGUGCAAGCGUUGUUCGGAUUUAUUGGGCGUAAAGCGCGUGUAGGCGGUUUUUUAAGUCUGAUGUGAAAGCCCCGGGCUCAACCUGGGAAGUGCAUUGGAUACUGGAAGACUUGAAUACGGGAGAGGGAAGUGGAAUUCCUGGUGUAGGAGUGAAAUCCGUAGAUAUCAGGAGGAACACCGGUGGCGAAGGCGGCUUCCUGGACCGAUAUUGACGAUGAGACGCGAAAGCGUGGGUAGCAAACAGGAUUAGAUACCCUGGUAGUCCACGCCGUAAACGAUGAGUACUAGGUGUUGCGGGUAUUGACCCCUGCAGUGCCGCAGCUAACGCAUUAAGUACUCCGCCUGGGAAGUA